RNAcentral lists this long non-coding RNA (203 nucleotides) under Nicotiana benthamiana. RNAcentral's name for it is "long non-coding RNA (NBEN_LNC000121)". The record is from RNAcentral. Lineage: Eukaryota; Viridiplantae; Streptophyta; Magnoliopsida; Solanales; Solanaceae.
UCAAUUAGUCAACUAAACCUUAACUCCAACUCCAAACUAGGUGGUGAAUUAAUUUGAAGUACAUAACAUAGAGUAAUUGGCAGUGUUGUAAAUAGCGCUCGCCUCAGCGCUAAUAGCGUGAGGCGAGGCGAUGCAAGGGUGUGUCGCCACAAAGGGUCUGUUGCGAUGCGAUUGGAAAUAGCGCUCGCCUCAGGGUGUGAGGC